AUUGAUUAAGGAAAGCCGAUAUUUAUUCUGUGACAUUUUGGAAUUACAUGUAUAAUUUCCAUUUAACUAAUUAUAGUUGAGAACAAAAGCUGUAAAAGUAUCACAAGGUAAAUAUAACUUUACUUCAAUGAGAAAGGUACAUUUUAAAAGAAAGUAUACAAAUAAUGUCAUCCACCUUCUAACAAACCUAGAUUUUAUUUUCUUUUAUCACUUUGUUUCACUUGUGAAUUGUUUUUUUCUAUUACAAAUUUAAAGAAGUCUGGCACCUUUAUAAGAAAAAAAGAGAUGUUGUGUGAUUGCCAACAAGAUAACUUUACCCAGAAACCAAAUGACGUAGAUAGUAGCAUCUAUAAGUCACCCUACGGCAUCAAAGGCAACAAUGAGUAUUAAACCCAAUUUACAAUAAUCUAUGAAAUUGACAAUGGGGUCGGUUGAAAACAAAACUUUACGACAAAAGAGAUGAUUUCAGCUUCCCACUUGUGAACUUUCCAUUUCUAAGCAACAUCAGUCCCGUAGCACCUGCAUACGGAGUAUAUAUCUCCCAAUGUUGAUACGAUAUUCCCGGGCUUGUAUUUCCUAUCAUGAUUGCCUUGAUCAAGAGUUGCUGCUCACAAGGAAGCUAUUAAACCAAGAGUUCCAAAUGGUGAAGCUGAAAUCAUUCCUUCGUAAAUUUUACGUACGCCAUCACGGUCCAUCACGAGUUAGUGGACCGUUAUGGAACUGCCGUUUCACAGAUGAUAUCGGAUACGUUCCUGAUGUUGUAAUUACAAUUCCCCUUCUCACGAAUGUGACUUACCAAAUUAGACAAUAUACCGGGUUUUUAAUAACAUGAGCAACAUGAUGGGUGUCACAUCAUGGUGGAGCAGGAUCUGUUCACCCUUCCGGAGCACAUGAGAUCACCCCCAUGCGCGCAGUUUUGGUGGUGUUCGUGUUGCUAAGUUUAGUUUUCUAUGUUGUGUCUUGUGUACUAUUAUUUGUCUGUGACUUUUUCUUAGUUAGCCAUGGCGUUGUCGGUUUAUUUUCGAUCUAUGAGUAACAGAGUUUGACUGUCCCUCUGGUAUCUUUCGCACCCUCCUCUAUGAGACACCAUUCGAACUUAAUGUAAUUCAUUCGCAUUACAAAAAAUCAGAAUAUGUACAAACCUGGCCAUCAAUUUUGCGAAAAGUCAGUUACCUUAACAAAACGCUGGUAUACGUAUCGUGCAAAUCUUUAAGAAUCUUACGGUGGCCUAUAGUUGUUAAUUUCUGUGUCAUUUUGGUCUUUUGUGGAGAGUUGUCUCAUUGGCAAUCAUACCACAUCUUCUUUUUUUUUUAUAUAUAUAUAACAUAAGGAUAACUUCUUUCUCGGUAUACCACAUAAUAGUCCUCAUUUUAAUGUUCUUUGAAAAAGUAAGUGGACAGUUUUGACGUUAACCAUUAUUAUGUUUUUGUUUGUUAGAAAAUGAAUUCCAGACUUCUAGUUUUGCUGCUGAUUUCCAUUGUAAUCAUUGGAACAGUUGAAUGCUCGUUUUUAGGAGUGGGGACAUGGAGACUUGAGGGCUGUAAAACCGUAUGUCGUGAUGUCUGCCAUAAAGUAUGUCAUGGGGGAAAUAUGAACAGAUGUGAAAACAGAUGUAGGAAGGAAUGCAAGAAAGAGUGCGCACCGCCAUCAUAAAUGGUAAGAUAUCUUCUAUGGACUAACCGUCAACAGUUAUUUCAGCAUGUAUUUAUUGUUUCUUUUAUAAAGGCUACGGUUUUAUUUGAACUAGUAAAAGGUGACUUUAAACGUACUGUCUCUGUGAAUUGUCUUUUAAAAGGCGAAUGUCCGAGACCUUUAUCAAAUAGAACAGUCAUUUGUAUUCCAGUGGUCAUCAAAACUAUUCCCACCAUAAAAAAUUAAAACAUCACGAUAUGAAUAUCAUGCGUCCGAAGCGCUUUUCUAGUUUAACCUUCAUCGGGACGCUCAAAGACGAAUAUUUGAAAGCCAAGGAUUUAUAUGGUACAUACAAAGAACCUUAUCGUCCAAAAAGGUGAAAAUAACUAACAGAUAACAACGCCAAAUGGUCUCAUCUGUUGUGAAUUCCUUUAUAUAGUUUCCUGUGUGAAACUGAACUUUCCAAAUUUAGAAAAGAAUGAUAAUUGCUGUCUAUUAAUAUUGUAGCAUAUUUAUUUUAUUUUUUAUACAGCCUUUCUAAUCUUAUUUCUUAAUUUUCAGCUCCAUACAUGUACAGAACAGAUGAAAAUGAUGUGUCAAAAUAAAAUACAUGUACAGAACAGAUGAAAAUGAUGUGUCAAAAUAAAAUAGAAAUUUGUAACAUGUAUUUCCUUGAAUUCUAUCAAUCGAUUCAUGAGUAAAUUAUCCAAUAAAUAUUAAACAAACAAAAACAAAAC
Molecule: long non-coding RNA, 2369 nt
Filed under: Mytilus galloprovincialis (Mediterranean mussel)
Lineage: Eukaryota; Metazoa; Mollusca; Bivalvia; Mytilida; Mytilidae
Source: RNAcentral